UUUUUUUUUUUUUUUUUUUGUGAAAUUUUAUAUUGCGUGCGUGCGUUGGAAGGGUAAUUUGGUCAAUUCAUGAAAUCAUCGGCAUCGCGCACAACGUGCCAAAUUUAAGCCCAAAACUGGGCGGUCCAACCCAACCCAAUUGUACUUGAUUGAGAAGCUUGUGACAGACCGCAUUCCCCACGCUACUCGAAAGGCCUGUGUUUCCAUCCAAAUAUUGGCCGCAGCUCCUAGCUCCGUACAACGUUCCAUUUGAAAGAAAAAUGUCUUCGAACUGAUUUGUUCCGUUCUUCCCAUCUUCAAAACAAGAACAGCGUGCAAGGCCAAAAAAGAAGAGAAAAACAGAAAACUGAAGCCAAAAAGCUCAGGAGAGGAUACUUCUUCUUAGCCCCAAAAAAUUCAGUUAACCCGCAAUUUGAUUUGAGUUCUGCAUCUCAAGAAAUCCAAUUACAACAGUAAUGUAGACCCAAAUUGGUACUCCAAUCAAUUUGUUGAGAGAGCUCCCAAAGUUUUAUGCCGAAGACCAUCAUAUUUAACCACCGCUACAAGCAGCCAUAAUAUGCGCUCUACCAGCGCCAACCAUGACCACCUAUUCACUACUAAAAAAACACUAAGAAGGGGGGGCAGCUUUGUUACAAGAGGCUAUGUUAGCACAAACCAUCAUUGCCUACUGGUGGUCGCACCAUAAGUCAAAGAGUCCCUCUCUCUCUCUCUCUCCCCGUUUCAUUUACAACAACAACACAUAUAUACAAAAAUUGCCAUGUGUUGAUUGCAGCAAUUGUAUCAUCCGCGCGUCAGGUCAAUCUCUGUCUGGGGAUUCCUCAAGUCUGGCCGGGAAACAGGAGGCCAACCACCUGCUCCAGAGUUUCCUGUAGGAUCCUGACCAGGAGCACCACUACCCAGUGCUGAUGACUUGUCUUCAGACUUGGGUACUAUGCUCUUGUCAUCUUUAUCACUAGCUUCUGAUUUGCUCUUUCCCUUGGUACCACCAUAUACAAAACUGCAGACCACGACCUAUACAACAUCCAAAAACCAACUUAAAUGAAAAUGUUCAUAACCUCGAAAACAAACACCAAGUGAUUAGAACACUCUUUAUCUCCCCCCAUGAUAUCAUCCUUCCUCAACCUCCACGGGGCAGCCAAAACACGAGGAGAAAAGGUAGGAAACACACGUUGAUGCCUCCAGAUUCAUAACAGUACCCACCCACUCGACUUACCAACAAGAUCCCCAUCAACAUAAAAAUUUAGGUAACAGAAGCUGCCAAAAAGAAGGUACUAAGCCGAGAAAGUACCUGAGCUGGGCUUGAGGCUAUAAGCCUACCCCCUAUUGCACCGCCAAUGACAUGCCCAUCAGGACUACAUACAGAUAUGCUAAGACCACCAGUCCUAUUACGAGGGCCACCACUUUCAGCAAGCAAAUAGGAACCAGACAAGCAUAAUAUCUCAAAACGGCCCUGAAAAAUUAAAUAAAAUAGAUGUCAUUGGUUUGCAACAGACACAAAUUCUCAGAGAAGAAAAAUCAUCACUGUUGCCAACAGCAAAGAUUUAUAAAAUUAUAUGACAACUGACACUUUAACCAUUAAAAAACAAUUAUAGACCUGCUAGCACGGCCAUAACCUAGAAAACUUGACGUUGUCCCCAAAAAAACAAGGCAGGGAGCAUUAUAAUUACGUCAUCCAAACAAAGUUUUACGCAUAAGACAAAGCACAAAAUUACACAACUUGAUAUGCAUAGAAAUUUAAGCAAGUCCAUGGAACAACAUGAUUUCUUUUGGGGGGUAAAUAAGCAUUUGUACACAAGGAAAAUGCAAACAAUAAGGCACAUAUUAAGGGUAACAGAAAACAACACACCAACCAACAAAACAUUACACAACAUCUGAAACUAAUCAAGCAUAAAAUCCGGUGUCUGGUAGUAAUCAAGUCCACUAAAGCCAACUGUUAGUAACCAAGUCCUCUAAAGCCAACUGUUUAUGUAGGACAUCUUAACUCUGUGUAGAGAGCAUACAACUUGAUGCAGCAUGAUAGAAAAACACAGACCCAGAGUGUGCACAUACAGGAUAUAUUCCACACAAAUAGCUUUACACAAUCUAUUCAGCUUAGAUAUAAAAGCUAUCCAAUAGAAAACAACAUUUACUAAUUAACUAUUCUGGAAUUGCCAAAAAGUUUGACCAAACAAAAACUUGAGACAAUAAAAAGCUACAUCCUUGUAUUCACAAGUGACCACCAAGUUCUUUAUACCUGCUUUGCAAAGAAAAAAAAAACUCAUGGGCAUGCUGUUUGGUUACUACCCAGAUAAGUACCACAAAAAGCCCAUGUUCAAGGUAGGACUGACAUUUUGUAGGACCCGAAUCCUUUUGACUUCUAAAAAAUGCAGAUUAUAUCAGGGUAUAAAUCAUAAAAAAACCUUUCUUGCUUUCCACUUCCCUCACCCCACAAACACCAAAUGAAUUGUAAGCCCCUUUCCACCACCAAAAUUAGCAUGUGAAAAAAAUCUUUCAGACCCUACAAGAAAAUAGUCAACAGAUAAAAGGCAAUACAUAUGAAAUUUGUUUUGCAAAACAAGCUCAAGCUUGAGGACACUUGACAGAAUGAAUGUGCAUUGUUUUUUUGUAGCUAUUGACAUUGAGUAACAGUACUACGAAAUUAACAUUGGAAGGUGCUUCUAGAAAGAAUCUCAAUAGCCAUCACUGGUUUUUAUCCCAGGGUCUGAAACAAAAGGCAUGUAGUUCUACGUCUAACGUAAAAUAAAAUGAAAAAAGAAGCAGCAACAGAAAAAGGAUUCAUUCUACUCCAUUUAUUUAUGUAGCUGACAGCAUCUAACAGAUGAAAAAUAAAAUUAAGCCAGCUCAACAUAAAAAGGGUUCACUCUUCUCCAUUUAAUCAUGCAGCUGACAGCAUCUACUGGAUGAAAAAUAAGGUCAAAAGACCUCGAGAAGACACAAAUAAUUAUUAAUAAUGACAACACCAAGAAGAAGACACAAAUAAGAUAAAGAUUCUAUCCCCGUGAUAGAGCAGUGAGGCUAGACGAACUGGGAUCAGGUUGAGCAUGUAGAAUCAAAAAAGUUAAAUACUUGGCAUCUAAAUGAACUCAAUUUCCACAAUUUUUCUGAAGUAAAGAUGGUCCACCCCCAAAACGUCAAUCUUUCCACAGAAACUGCUGCAUUUGAAUGAAACAACUUAGGAUGGGGAACAAGAAGAUUCCAUGUUAAUAGCAUGGCAAACAUAUUAUAGUGCAAAUGAUAAAAUAUUUUAUUAUAACUACAAAAAGGGUUCAUUUCAAUGUAGACCAUUUUUAAAAUAAAAAAGGCAAAAAAUUCAAAUGCAUGCCAAUAAAUAUGAUGAUAAAUCAUAAACCAUCACAGCAGACUUCACCAAAAUCUCCAUGUGUAUGUUGUAUAUUGCCUGUAUAAUUCGAAAGUUGAACAUCUCUGUCAAAGAUCACCAGCCCAUGGGCAAAAACUUUUACAAAUUAUAAAGAUAAGGUACAAAAAUGCUUCUAAAUUUGAGUAUAAGGCACUAAAAAAGCCUGAGUUUGACCUCAUAUGUUACAGUGCCACCAGAGGUUGUUGGCUGCCGGAGUGUUACAGCAGAUACCGAACCAUUAGCUGACAAAAUGCACAAAGCCCUUGGCCUCUGUUGUGCAAAUGAUAAUAUCUUUGCAGCAAUAUCCUGCAGUCACAUUACCCACAGUUGUUACUGAAGCAUGCAACUCAAAUUAAAGACAUAUACUAGAGAAGUUUUUAUCAACACCAAUAAUCCAUCCACUUAGCAUGAAUGGUCCACAAUUUGUGGCUUUGACAACAAGAUUGCAUCACAACAAUUGUAGUGAAGCAUGUUCUAUCAGCAAGAGUUGCAUGCUUAAACAAGAAUUUUAUAGAUAUACAAGACAACAUUCAGCUCAAUUAGAUUUCCACACCCAAAAAAAUGGAAUAAAACAAAAUAUAUAGAUCUCUAUAACUAGCUCAUAUUCAUACAGGCACCAUCCUCUUCCUUUUAAUCACUUUGAUCUAGAAACACUCUAGAUCAGGAUAGGCAACAUAUAAUGCAUAUUGGAGCGAACCAAUGCAUAUUCAAUACCUCUCCAACUCCAACAUGAAUGACAUGCGGUGUGAAAGCUAGUCCAGCAGUACUAUUCAUCCAAUCACCUGCCACCAAAAAUAAAAAAUAAAAACAAAAACUAUGAGCUCAAGAAAAGGGUGCCAUACUAUAAAAUCACAAUAAUUUAUCAAUGUCUCUUAAUCGGAACAUACAAUUACUAGAAAAGCAAUGCAAGAGGCUGAUCUAUAGGAUCUUAAGUUCAAUUUUGACCAUGAAAACUACAAUUUCAGUUGCAUCUACUACCGAACUAAGUAGCAGAAUAUUCCAUCAAUGUAAUUUUAGUUUCACUAAAGUCAAACUACAAAGCAGACAUAUACGCAUUUAUCAAAGACAUUGUAAGAAUUUGAAUAGGGAAAACUCCAUAAAAGACUCAUACUUUGAUUAAAAAUCGGAGAACAAAAACUAAACUUCCCACCUAGGACUCACGCAAAAAUCCCCAGUAGAAAAGCAGUUUCAGAAAUAAAGCAAGAGCAACCUGAAGAUCCUAUUUUGAAGUACAGUACUCAAUUAACCAACUAAUAAUAGUCUUAAGUCUCAUAUAGGCUAAAAUAAAACAAUGCAUAUAAAUACAACACGAAUUAAUCAAGAAAACAAAAACUUACCAAGUGGAGCCAAUCGCUGUUUCCAUCCACUACCAGGCGGCCGCCCCCGACUUUUUUUGGAGCCCCCAGGCGUGAUUGAUCCCGGGGAUGGCGUAGAAGAGAGGGGAGACAAUCCUAAAGCCAUAUUAGCCCCAGCCCCAUCAGGGCCAUACUUUCUAGGCCUCCCUCUCUUCUUCUUCACAGUUUCAACAGGUGUAACAGUAGAAGCCAUGGACAUAGUAAUGCCAUGAGCAUAACUGGGUGAAGGGUUCUCUACUUGGAAUGCGGAGCCCAUAGGAGCACCACCACCCCCUACAUUUGACUGCACUGAAAUGUUAGGGUUUGUAAGGGUCUUAUAACCAGGAGGUGCGGGCACCCCUGUUGGGGUCAUUGAGCCCCCACCCCCACCGCCCCCAACAACACCAACUCCUACACCAGACCCUGAAUUAGACCCACCAACCCCACCACCUCUAUUGAGGUAAUAUGAAGCCAUUCCUUCUCUUCCAUCCAUGCAUUUACUCAACGAAAUUUAACCCCAAAAGGACUCCUUUUUUUAACCUACUUUGCAAUAAAAUCCACACUUGCAAAACAAAAAUCCACUCUUUGAACAAACCUAGCCCAAAUCUAAAACCGACCCCCCUACAGAAAUCUGACUACAAAACCGAAAUCUUAACAGAGAAAAGAUACACCAUAACUUCAAAAAAUUAAUAAAUUAGAGGAAAAUCAGAACAAGGGUUUAACAUGGGUUUUGGAGAAAUCAUGGGAAAAAAGCAGACAAUUUUGGAAAGAGAAAUCUUCAAGUUAACACUCACCAAAAAAGUGUAAAAGAUGCAGCAAAACUGAAAAAGAUUGAAACUUAAACAAAAUUCUUUAGUUAAAGAUCACGGAAACCAGAGCUAAAUUAAGAAGAAUGCUGAAAACCCAUGGUUUCACAGACCCCCACAAAUGAUAGCUCAAAAUCGAUAGUUCUUGAGAGGGUGCUCAGAUAGAUAAAGAACUAAAGGAAAAAGAAAAAGAAACCCUAGAUUUGAAAUGGGGGAGAGGAAAUGAGAGAGAGAGAGAGAGAUGGGCAGCAUGAGUUUUGGGAAAGAGGGAGGGAGGGUAAAGACAAAAGUGAAAUGAAAUAGAAAAUACUACUGAACUUUUGAAUUAAAGUAAGAGAAGGCUAGGCUUUCUUUCUAAUUUUUUUUUUUUUUUAAAAAAGAAAAUUCAAAAUUGUAUGGUUUAACUUUUAUAAAAUAAUAAUUUAUGGAAAGGGUUUCAGGGGGCGAUUUAGUGAUCAGUGACGGUGUUUCUCUGACUUGAGGUCUUUGAGGGGUGGAGGCCUGUUGGAGGACAGUUGGGUGCACCUAAGGACUACCAACUUGUCCAUAUCAGAAUACUACUGCUACAGUACUGGUACAUGAAAUUUCUUGGGACAGGGUAUCCUUUUCUUGCUCUUUAUUUGAAUCUCUCCACUGCCUUCUUCCUUCUUCUGAUGAAUUUAAUGAGAACUUUCUUUUUGUGGGAUUGCUUCGCGCUGCUUUUUGGACUUGGGAUGGAGCAUUCAUUGACAAGAGACCAGAGUAUGACUGAUGAGAGAGAAGGACGCUUCUUGUGAGUCACCCAUGAGAGAGAGAGAGAGAGAGAGGAGAGAGUUCAGAGUUGAGUCAAAAGAAGUUUGAAAAGAAAGGAAAAAAACAAACAGGGGCUGAAACAUUUGAUGAUGGCAAGAAAUUUGGGCAGUAGUUCACUUCAAACCAAAAAGAAAAUAUGAUCAAUUCAAUUCCCCAUCUCAUAAACAGUUGUAAAAUCAAAUAUAAACACUCGCUCAAGUUUAGAUCAAGAAGAUUUCUCACAAAACAAAACAAAACAAAAAAAUUCGACGAAUACUUGUACUAGCAGUCCGAGAUAAGCAUAUCUUGAUUAAGAACAGCCAUGAUUUGACUGAAGAAAGGGGUCAUGCUUUUUCUUCUUGUACUUGUUGUUGGAGGAGCUCUCUAUGCUAUUGCGAAUGAACUAUACAUUUAUUUCGCUUAAUUGACAAAAGAAUAAAAAAUUUACAGUUAGUUUGCUAACGAGUAAUUAUGAUGAUCCUAGUCAAAUUCGUUAUGCAAAAGAAGUCAAAACUCUUUUGAUUAAAUAAAAUAUAGCUGCAAAAGUAGGUAGCCGAAGGAGAGAACAGACGUUAUCCAUCCCUCUGCCAAACAUGCAAGAAGUUCGACAUUUUGGAAAUUGUACCGGGAAGAUUCAUUUUCCCAAUUCAAAAUUGCGUCAAGCACUCAUUUUUUUCCCCAAUUUUAGUACUCAUUUUGUAUUAUAGAUAUAUAGACUAGCUCAUUUCUUCUGUCAAAUUUAUUAGUUCAUAUUUUGUUGAGCACAACAUGAGAAUAGUUCGGGUCAGCAGGGGUGGGCAAAAUUAUCCGUUAACCCGAAAAUUCAUAAAAUUAGGAUAUUCGAUUUUUAUUAUUUGAUCGGGUCAAAAGAGAGUCGGAUACCGCUAAGAUGCGGGACGGAUUACGGUCACAUAAUUAAAAACUCGCGGGUACCCAAUCCGCCCCGCAUAUAUAUAUUUUUUAUUUUUAUUUUUAUACACACACUAUAAAAUAAUAAUUUAGAACUAAAUAAGUAAUUUUAUUGAACAAAUUGCAUUACAAAUAUGAGAGACUAUAAUUUAUUUACAAUAUUCAUUUGUAGAGGUCAUGAUCUUAUAUUUUAUAGAAAAAAAGUUUAAUUAAUGUGAAACAUAUAUAUUAAAAAUUGUAUCACUUAUUUCAAACUUUUAUUGAUUUUGAAUUUUUUACCUUUAUCUUAUAUUUUCUUCACAUGCUUGUUUGUUAGUGAUAGGGCUGCAAACGAGUCGAGUCGAGUCGAAUUUUGAGCUAAUCGAGUCAAGUCUCGACUAAAUUUUAUCAAGCUCGAGCUUGACGAGCCGGCAAAUUUCGAGCUUGAGCUCGACUCGAAUCAAGUCGAGCCGAGCUCGAGCUCGAAAAAAAAUAAAAAAUACUUAUUUUAUUUUUAAAAAAAUAAAUAAAAUAAUAUUUUUUCUUAAUAAAUAAUAAAAUAUUAAGGAUAUAUACGUAAUUUUAUUAUGAAAAUAAAAAAUAUAUAUAUACUAUACGUAAUUUUAUUAUUAAAUAAAAAUAAAAAUAAAAAAUAUAUAUAUAUACCCAAACUCGCGAACCGGCUCGCGAGUUAACGAGCUUAAUAUUCUGAGCUCGAGCUCGACUCGAGCUUGACUCGAGCGGCUCGAUUCGUUUGUAGCUCUAGUUAGUGAGAAACCUUUUUUGAGAAAAAAAAUUAUUAAAUUUUAGAUGAAUGUCUAAAAUAUAAAAUUAAAUUAAUAUAAAUAAUUUUUUAAAAAAAUUAAAUGAUAAAUGAGACGAAACAGGUACCCGCUGACCCGACCUUAUCUCAAUGAGUACCCUAUAAUCGGGUACCCGCUGAUAUACGGGACGGAUAAAGGUCAGAAAAUAAUUGACCCGCAAAAUACAAGUCGAAUCAAUCAAAUGAUGAAUAGAGCGAGUACCCGACCCGUAUCCACUCAUACGGUCAAUAGAGCGAGUACCCGACCCGUAUCCUAAUCCUACAAUCCUAAUGUGAAAUUUUUAAAAGAAUUGACAAAAUCUCUAAGGCCAUUAAUCAGAGUCGAGUGUCAAGUGUAACAUUUAUGUAACACGAAGACAUUUUGUGCUCUGCACUAUCAUAAAUGAUGGGAUAUGGGCAGCACAGUUGACCGAUGACCGUUGACCGCUGCUUUCCAAAGAUGAUAUCUAAUAGACUGUCUUUAUUGUAGUGUACGAGCAGUAGCAUCUCCAUCCAGGCCCAGUCACGGGGGUGCCCGUACCGAACACAAAAUGACACAUGGUCAUCUUAGUCAAGCGUUCAGGCAUCUAUGCUUGCUUAAAAUUUAAAACAUGUACUAUAACAGUAGUGCAUUUCUUUGGUUUAGAAGUGAGAUGUACUCCCCCGAAUUUCCUUUGGCCCAAUUAAACGCCCUAGCACUGAUUAGACACCGAUCUACGUAAAUUUGUCGAAGCUUGAAAGUUUUUCUACAUCAAGAAUUUCACUAUUUUGCCAAGUUAAAAGGGUCCCAAUUUGAGCACUCCAUUACAAUUCUGGUCCUAAUUUGAGCGCAGUCCAUUAUAGUUCUGGAUUAGACCAGUAAUAAUGACCAUAUUUCAUGUAUCCUCCGCCAGUAAGCCAUGCAAAAAGAUCGAAUAUGGAGGCAUCUUCCAUCCCCACCGGCAAAUUGGAAGCACUAGAUAUUUCUCAUAAACUCAGCAUUCAGACUGUAAUAACUCUAUGAUAGCCCCGUUCUUCAGUACUACGCUACAUACACUUGACCAAGUUGCAGAAGGCCUACUGCAAAAGAUGUGUGAUGAUGCGUUCCCACCGAAAGAAUCAGUGCUACUCUUAAGAAAAUCUUACUUGGUCGAUUCUGAAGUGUGACUUCUAUUCACGAAAUCCAAGUACCCCUGUCAAAGAUAAGCACUUAAAUUAGAUCCCAAAAUGAAACAAUGAAACAUCUAAUUCAAUCGCAAACAAAUCAAGUAUAACUAUUGUUUCAUAGCUAAUGGGAAAUAGGACCAUUAUGGUUUAGAUAUAAACAUUCAACAUCUGAAAUGCUCCUAAUUUUACCCAAUUAAAGGAUAUCGCAAUAAAACUAAAAUACACUGCAAUUAUCAAACUGGUAGCUCAGGAAGGUUCCCAUGAAGACGAAAAGACUUGGUAACACAAUACACUGCAAUGAUCAAGGUAUUUUUUUGUUUCCUUUUUUCCUUUAACGCAGGGGAGGAGUGGAAUUUAAGAAGCAGGGAGUGCGAACAGGAAUUUGAACUCAGGACUCUGAUUCCUAAGGCCUCAACCUUAGCCUCUAGACCUAGGCUUCCUUGGCACAAUAAUCAAAAUGGUAACACUGCAGAGUUAUCUGACCAGAAAUUGCUUCUUACCUCUUACACAGGCUAAUCUACCAAACUCAGUCAUACUCUGCAGUUUAUAUAAUCAAAACUUCAGUACAAUGGGAAGAUUAUUGUGACCUGUAGGAUUCCAACAGCAGCAAAUUUGUCCAUUAUUGUCUUAUAAUGAACAGGGUGCAAAUUCAGUGGCUUCAACAGAAAUUCCACAUUCUGCAACGAAACCAUUCACAUUAUUAUUAUUUGCUAAUGCCACCAUUAGAUGAAAGGGCUAGAAAAGAUGAGGCUAACUAUCUACAAAAGAAGAAAGAAGACUAUCAAAUCAGUAAUAUCAAGAUGAAACACAUUUCACAGUUUUGCAAUUCCAGAUCUGAUAGAUUCCUUCAAUCUGGUAAUACAAUCUAAGCAUGACUAUAUCCAGAAUGAAGAUUUGCAUUGCAAUUUUAAGUACCAACAAGGAGGUUGCAAACAUCUAAUGAUUAGGAACCAUUUCAUGCUAUCAACUGCUUCCCUUGAUAAAGGCCAUUCAGUAUCAUAAAAUUACUUCUUCAAUAUCAGCGGUUAGAAGCACCCACCUUUGAAGUAAAACACUCAUCCCAGAAAGUAUACCUUACACCUUCAAGUUUCCCUGUUUUACAAAGAUCAUCAAUAAAAAGCUUCACUUGCACAGCCUGCAGGAGAGAACAAUAAUGAAUCAGGGGAAGACGAGCCAUUAUACUUGUGAAGAGAGAAUCCAUAUCUUUAUAUUUCACUGAAUAAGAUAUAGUUCACUGGAAGAAAAAGAAGAAGAAGAAUAAGAGGAAAACACACAUCUGCGCUGUUCCUCUGUUGUCUAUCAAAAGGAUAGCCAAUUACAAAGCCUGUCAGGGAAAGUUGAGAGAUCUGCAGACAGAGAAAGCAUAUAAGAAAUGAAUCUAAAUUUCAUCAAAAUAAUCUAGAUAUUCAGGUUAUAAAAAUCCACUAUGCAAUUAGAAGCAAGAGUGGCAUCAUAAUCCAUGUAAAUGUGAAAGAUAGAAACUGAAGGAUUGAAUCUUUUGGUUCACAAAGUAUGCAAUUCAUAUUGGUACCUUCAAAAAAUUCAGAAGGAAACAAAAGUGCAGAAGGCAAAAAGGCAAUAUCAUUAGUUCUUUAUGUUUAUUCCAUGAAACAUCUUAAAGUAAAAUAGGUGUAUUCCCCCGAAGAAUAUUCAUAUCAACAAAUUCAAACAGCUCUGAAAACAAUAAAUCAUAAAAUUAAAACAUCUGAAACAAAAUAGUCAUGCCAAAUCUUAGGACUGUGAUCUUAAUUGAACAAUUUACCGUCAAAAGCACAACUUUUCCAUCAGUGAUACAAGUUAUUUUUAAUGAUCAUAGGACUAAUACAACUCACUCCAUCCACAGUUUAAAGCAGCAUCUCAGCAGUAAAAGCAACUUGCCAUAGGUGCUAGCUUAAGGAUGCUUUCAUUCGAGAAGAUAGUGAUGAAUAGUUUCUUCAGUUAAAUUCAGUGAGGCACCUCUAACAAUAGAAGCUUAAUAAAAUUACUCUAACAACCCAAUACCCAAUUGGAAAAAUAAUCCAAAAUAAUCAUCUUUAAGUCAAAAGAUCCAAAAAUAAACUCUACCCACUGUCUUGCUCAGUGCAGAUGAGUUAGUUAAAUAAACAAAAAGAACAAUAAAAAGUUAAUACUAACCAGAAGUUCAAAAUCACUGGCCAUCAAGUCAAUGUUACUUUUCUUCCGUAGCAGAACACUGCAACCAGACGUCAACCAUGUUCAUCCCAUGCAUUGUAAAAUCAUAGUGAACUACUCUACAUUACUUUAAAAAUGUUCUCGGGUCCUCCGACGCAUUCAUUAUAAUCAUGGAAGACCGCAAUUCUUAAGCUCCUAGAUAGGCAAAUAUUACCUGAGAGGUGAUGCGAUUUUGUUAUUUACAUCAGAAACAGCUAAACCCACAUAUUUAUCACCGACAUCUAAACCAAGUAACCGGCUUCUGUUCCGUGAAUUUGUCUUUAUCAGUUCUUGAAACAAGUUCGCGGGCUUCAUGUACUUCAUCCCUGUAAUGCAUCAAAUUCCAUAGUGCAACUUUAGAAAACACCUUCUAAAGUAAAAGGGUAGAUUAAUGAGUUAAUUCAAGAAAAGUAAAGUAGUAGCUAAAACUAUUCUGAGCAGUAAUCAGAAAAAAGAAAAACAACCGAGCAACUUCAGAUAGACAUUUUCACAAACACUUGGUCCACUAGCAUACUUGUUUUAUAAGGGCUUCGGGAGUUGGGACUCUCUCUCUCUCUCUCUCUAUCUCUUCACUUGUGUACAUGUACGUAAAUCGUAGUGUUCGGAAAAGAAGCGGGAGAGAUUUACCUUCAUAUGGAAAAUGCAGCCCAGAGCCUGAAAUUAUACGACCAGUUUUCUGGAGAGGGAGGAUGCACUAGUUGAAAAUCGUUUCUUAAAACAGCUGGAAAAAAAAAACAAAAGAAAUAAUUUCUAGUAGGCCUCUAUGACUAUGAGAUUGAAGGCGACCGACACUAGGCUGAUUGCAAGAGUGGAUCCAUGGGGAUGAAGUGCCCAAUGGGGCAUUUCAACUGGCUCAUUCGCUAGAACCAUGUUUGGGCUGCUAAGGGCCCAAUAGGUCCAAUACGGCUAAUUUCCUCUUAUUUUUAUUUUUCCUUUAUUUAUUUAUCUAUAAAAAGUCCGAUUUGUCUUCGGGUUUAUUUUUGGUUUUCGACCAGGAUUGAAUUACUUGAUUGAGUAGUUUGAUUGGUAUACCGCUCAAAGGAAAAAAAUCGAUUCAUUUGGUUUGACCUUGCCUGUUAUAAUAGAAUAUGCACCUGCAAGUAUAAAUAUAUGAAAUACGUGCAGAACUUCAAAUUCAAAUGCAAAUUAUGACUAUGCAGUAUAUAUCUAAACUCACUAAUAUAUAUAUAUGCAUUGUAAAAAAGAUCGACCAUAUUCAUUUAUGUAUUGAAUUCUUGUAACUACUUAUUACGUAUAGGGGUUUCAACCACUAAGUAUUUUCAAUGAUGAUUGAAAAUGUAAAAUCAAACGAAGAAAGUGCACUAUCAACAUUAAUGCAUACCACGUUACAUAUAGGUCCAUUUGGGAUUGCGGGCGUUUACCCAAAAAAAAAAAACACAUUUAAACACAAAGUAUUUCUAAAGUGUUUGACAACUAUGUAUUUCCCAGGCCAUAACUUACCAGUUUUUGAUAGCUUAAAAACAAUUAUGUAUGAUGAAAAACAGUUUUGGUAGAAGUAGCUCUAUAAGAAGUAUUCGCAACUCCAAACGAAGUCUAAACUAGCAUAGAAAAUUUGAGUUUUGAUUUUUGUGUCCUCAACAUUAUAGCUAACUUGACAUGGAAUGUCCUAAUAAGUCAUUGUUCAAAAAAAGGAAGCGUAAAAAAUGGCCCUCUAUUUUAUUUUCUAUUCUGGGUUAUCUAAAGACUACGAAGUAGAUAAAAAAAAACAAGGAGGAGGAGGGGUCGUGUAAGAAUCAAUUGAAUCAAUUGAAUGAAAUUGAU
This 13056-nucleotide long non-coding RNA is filed under the name Coffea arabica (coffee). RNAcentral's name for it is "long non-coding RNA (CARA_LNC006115)". Lineage: Eukaryota; Viridiplantae; Streptophyta; Magnoliopsida; Gentianales; Rubiaceae. The record is from RNAcentral.